AGUUAACUAUUUUCAUGCUCUGACAUGACACAACUUUGCUGCACGACUUUCAAAGAAGUAACGGGUAGUUUUUUUAAAAUUAAAGAGCCGCUAGAUAUACUUUUUAGCAAACGUUUUUAGCAAUGAAAAGCACUUAUAAAAGGCAUCAUUUACUAUAAUUUUAUCUAAUGAAAGUGUUCCUAUUCAUUGAGAAUUUAUUGUGCUAUUUUUAAAGCUUUCAUUCAAAUACUCUUGAGUUUGAGGGGCAAAUCUUCUCUCUCAAUCUUUUAGCAUUAAAUUCUG
Molecule: unclassified non-coding RNA, 282 nt
Filed under: Hevea brasiliensis (rubber tree)
Lineage: Eukaryota; Viridiplantae; Streptophyta; Magnoliopsida; Malpighiales; Euphorbiaceae
Source: RNAcentral